GACGAACGCUGGCGGCGUGCCUAAUACAUGCAAGUCGAACGAAGCUGUUUUAACUGGUGCUUGCACCGACUUAAACAACUGAGUGGCGAACGGGUGAGUAACGCGUGGGUAACCUGCCCCAAAGCGGGGGAUAACAUUUGGAAACAGAUGCUAAUACCGCAUAACCACAGAAACCACAUGGUUUCUGUGUCAAAGAUGGUUUCGGCUAUCACUUUGGGAUGGACCCGCGGCGUAUUAGCUAGUUGGUAAGGUAAUGGCUUACCAAGGCAAUGAUACGUAGCCGAACUGAGAGGUUGAUCGGCCACAUUGGGACUGAGACACGGCCCAAACUCCUACGGGAGGCAGCAGUAGGGAAUCUUCCACAAUGGACGAAAGUCUGAUGGAGCAACGCUGCGUGAGUGAAGAAGGUUUUCGGAUCGUAAAACUCUGUUGUCAGAGAAGAACGUGUGCGAGAGUAACUGUUCGUGCAGUGACGGUAUCUGGCCAGAAAGCCACGGCUAACUACGUGCCAGCCGCCGCGGUAA
RNAcentral lists this ribosomal RNA (524 nucleotides) under uncultured bacterium. Its description in RNAcentral is "partial 16S ribosomal RNA". It matches the Rfam family "Bacterial small subunit ribosomal RNA", at positions 28 to 523 of the family's 1533-position model. The record is from RNAcentral.